This 1387-nucleotide ribosomal RNA is filed under the name Chryseobacterium sp. Its description in RNAcentral is "bacterial SSU rRNA". It matches the Rfam family "Bacterial small subunit ribosomal RNA". The record is from RNAcentral. Lineage: Bacteria; Pseudomonadati; Bacteroidota; Flavobacteriia; Flavobacteriales; Weeksellaceae.
CAUGCAGCCGAGCGGUAUUUCUUCUUCGGGAGAGAGAGAGCGGCGUACGGGUGCGUAACACGUGUGCAACCUACCUUUAUCAGGAGGAUAGCCUUUCGAAAGGAAGAUUAAUACUCCAUAAUAUAUUAGAUGGCAUCAUUUAAUAUUGAAAACUCCGGUGGAUAGAGAUGGGCACGCGCAAGAUUAGAUAGUUGGUGAGGUAACGGCUCACCAAGUCAUUGAUCUUUAGGGGUCCUGAGAGGGAGAUCCCCCACACUGGUACUGAGACACGGACCAGACUCCUACGGGAGGCAGCAGUGAGGAAUAUUGGACAAUGGGUGAGAGCCUGAUCCAGCCAUCCCGCGUGAAGGAUGACGGUCCUACGGAUUGUAAACUUCUUUUGUAUAGGGAUAAACCCAGAUACGUGUAUCUGGCUGAAGGUACUAUACGAAUAAGCACCGGCUAACUCCGUGCCAGCAGCCGCGGUAAUACGGAGGGUGCAAGCGUUAUCCGGAUUUAUUGGGUUUAAAGGGUCCGCAGGCGGGCCGAUAAGUCAGUGGUGAAAUCUCAUAGCUUAACUAUGAAACUGCCAUUGAUACUGUCGGUCUUGAGUAAAUUAGAGGUAGCUGGAAUAAGUAGUGUAGCGGUGAAAUGCAUAGAUAUUACUUAGAACACCAAUUGCGAAGGCAGGUUACCAUGAUUUAACUGACGCUGAGGGACGAAAGCGUGGGGAGCGAACAGGAUUAGAUACCCUGGUAGUCCACGCCGUAAACGAUGCUAACUCGUUUUUGGGGCGCAAGCUUCAGAGACCAAGCGAAAGUGAUAAGUUAGCCACCUGGGGAGUACGUUCGCAAGAAUGAAACUCAAAGGAAUUGACGGGGGCCCGCACAAGCGGUGGAUUAUGUGGUUUAAUUCGAUGAUACGCGAGGAACCUUACCAAGACUUAAAUGGGAAAUGACAGGUUUAGAAAUAGAUCCUUCUUCGGACAUUUUUCAAGGUGCUGCAUGGUUGUCGUCAGCUCGUGCCGUGAGGUGUUAGGUUAAGUCCUGCAACGAGCGCAACCCCUGUCACUAGUUGCUAACAUUCAGUUGAGGACUCUAGUGAGACUGCCUACGCAAGUAGAGAGGAAGGUGGGGAUGACGUCAAAUCAUCACGGCCCUUACGUCUUGGGCCACACACGUAAUACAAUGGCCGGUACAGAGGGCAGCUACACAGCGAUGUGAUGCAAAUCUCGAAAGCCGGUCUCAGUUCGGAUUGGAGUCUGCAACUCGACUCUAUGAAGCUGGAAUCGCUAGUAAUCGCGCAUCAGCCAUGGCGCGGUGAAUACGUUCCCGGGCCUUGUACACACCGCCCGUCAAGCCAUGGAAGUCUGGGGUACCUGAAGUCGGUGACCGUAAAAGGAGCUGCC